CCUGUAGCUCAGCUGGAUAGAGCGUCUGGCUUCGAACCAGAAAGUCGGGAGUUCGAAUCUUCCCGGG
RNAcentral lists this transfer RNA (67 nucleotides) under marine eukaryotic metagenome. It matches the Rfam family "tRNA". Rfam says of the family: Transfer RNA (tRNA) molecules are approximately 80 nucleotides in length. Their secondary structure includes four short double-helical elements and three loops (D, anti-codon, and T loops). The record is from RNAcentral.